Molecule: ribosomal RNA, 305 nt
Filed under: uncultured bacterium
Lineage: Bacteria
Description: bacterial SSU rRNA
Rfam family: Bacterial small subunit ribosomal RNA
Source: RNAcentral
ACCUACGGGGCGCAGCAGUGGGGAAUAUUGGGCAAUGGGCGCAAGCCUGACCCAGCAACGCCGCGUGAAGGAAGAAGGCCCUCGGGUUGUAAACUUCUUUUGUCAGGGACGGAGAAAGUGACGGUACCUGACGAAUAAGCCACGGCUAACUACGUGCCAGCAGCCGCGGUAAUGCGUAGGUGGCAAGCGUUAUCCGGAUUUACUGGGUGUAAAGGGGGCGCAGACGGCGAUGCAAGCCAGGAGUGAAAGCCCGGGGCCCAACCCCGGGACUGCUCUUGGAACUGCGUGGCUGGAGUGCAGGAGGG